GGUCUUGCAAUUCUCGAACCCUUAAAUGAAGGUAUCGGUAGAGGCAUUGGCUAGUACCUCCUUGAAGUCCGUGGAGACCUUGUACUCCUCGAUGCAACAGAGCUUGGCCACCGUAAAGGCCACCAAGGUGGUCUCAACGAGCCUCCCUUUACUCACAGAUAGAGGGAUAUUCGCCUGGAGCCUCACCAGAUCCUUUGGAUCCCUGGGAGGAGGCAAAGGCUGGCGGACAAUAGGAGGUGCAGAUG
Molecule: long non-coding RNA, 245 nt
Filed under: Elaeis guineensis (African oil palm)
Lineage: Eukaryota; Viridiplantae; Streptophyta; Magnoliopsida; Arecales; Arecaceae
Description: long non-coding RNA (EGUI_LNC017149)
Source: RNAcentral